RNAcentral lists this long non-coding RNA (3773 nucleotides) under Schistocerca americana (American grasshopper). RNAcentral describes it as "uncharacterized LOC124613598". Lineage: Eukaryota; Metazoa; Arthropoda; Insecta; Orthoptera; Acrididae. The record is from RNAcentral.
UUCUGUUCCUUUCUUGAAGUAUUUAAACAGUUUAUUAUGUAGUUUAUUGCAGUUCUCAAUUGACAACAAAAUUUAAGUUUAUUUGGUACUACUUUAUUUGUAAAUUUUUCUGUCACUGAUUUCUUUUUGUCUCCUAUUCCUUCUGUUCUGUGUACAUUCUUAGUCUGUCACAUACUAGAUAGCCUCUCGUUGUUCUUGUCAGUGUAAAACCAAGUUAAUUUGUGAUGUACUGUCACAGAAUUAGCUAUUGUGGACCAAUGCCACACUCCUACUAAAAAGUAUUUAUUUAUAGCAGCACAUUUCCUGUACCUGAAUUCUUAUGUGCCCGCCAACCCCCGAGACCUAAGAUGCCACUAGUCAAAAGCUGCCUUUCCUUCUCUCUGUCCACAGUGUUUGUCAAAGAUGUGGAUAGUUACAAACAGUUGCAAUUUACAAUUUGAAAGCAGUUUGCGAAUCAAGUAAUUACUGUACAUUUUGAAUUCCACCACUGGCCACCAAAUUUAUCAAACAGCUGCUAAUAAUACUCGUGUAAAAUAUUCUCAGUUUAAAUUGUAAUAAGUUUUCAUGAACACUGAAGUAUGACAGCAGUAAAUGCAGUCACAUUUUAGAUUUGUCCAGUGUAAAUCAUAUCGCUAUUUGAUGGUUUUAUGAUGUAGACUGUUGGUGUAAUUUGAUUUGCUGUUAAAUCCAGAUACUAUUCCUUCAAGCAAACACUGUAAUGAGUGCCUGUAGUGCUUGUCCUAUCAUUCUUAUUUGCUUUAAGAUGCUGUAGUUAACAUAUUAGUUCCAUGUUGAUGUGGUGAAUAUAAAUAUUAUAGUUGUCUUUGCUUUAUUUCCAACUGUUCGAAAAUGAAUUAUCUUUGUAAUUGGACCUCCAGGUUAGCUGCCAAAUGAUGUCAUUUGUGUAAAUGUUAUGCAUAUUAUUCCUUUUUAAUGGUUAACAAGAAAGCCUGUUAUGGAGUUGUUACUGCUAAUGAGUUGACUUUGGCACAGUUUCAAAAGAAAACACUUCUGUUUUCAUAAUGUUCUAAUUUAUAAACAGUGAGCAUUUCUCCGCUAUUUCUCACUAAAUAAUUAUUGCAGGUAUGUGAUUUAGCAAGACCGCAAUAAAGAAACUGUCAUCAAAAGGCUCCUUUAAGUAGUAACAAUUUAUAAUGAAAUGUCAAAUGAAUAUUGGUAGUUAAAUGCUUGACCGGAAAGUGGCAAUGGAGCAACAUGUAGACAUUAAAAGGAGAAUAAUAGGAGACCAUUAAAGUCCCACAAGACCAUAAAUAAAGAGAGGUAAAAGAGGUAAAUAGAAUCGAAUAACUGUGUCUGAGAAACAGUGGACAUAGAUAGGCUUGUCUAUACUGUUGUCAUACUAUUUUUCUGCUGUAUAAUAUGGUCUGAAGAUAGCACAAAACUCUUGGUACUUGUUUCAUACUUUGGGCGAUUUUCAGGGCACAAGCACUUUGGACUUUAGAUGAUACCACAUACCCGGACACACACAAAAUGCAUCUUCUAUGGUGGUUAUUUCUUUUCAGUUUAAAACUGUCAUCAGCCCCCCCCCCCCUCUCUCUCUCUCUCUCUCUCUCUCUCUCUCUCUCUCUCUCUCUCUCUCUCUCUCUCUCUCUCUCUCUCUCUCUCUCUCUCGAGUUUGUUCACUCAUUAUUUGUUUUGUAAGACUUGUUUAAAGGAAUUUGUUUUAACAGUAUUAAAUAUAGACAUAAGAACAUCCAGUUUUAAGGUAAUACAAACACGCAAAAGGGAAUAGCAGUUGUGAGCUCUUCCGAUAAAUGCAAUGGUACAAUUGAGUUACAAAAAUACUGCUAUGGUGGUCAUAUCUUACAUUAAGUACUAAAGUACAGUUUUAUAAUUUGUAAACUAUGUGAGAUCUGUAAAUGAUUUCUCCAUUUCUUUUCCUUUUGUAAUAACCUCAUUUGGAUAAUGUGGUUUGUUAAUUCAGUAGUAAUUUAUUACAAGGAACACUGUGAAAAUUUUGAGAAUUGUAUUAUAAUCCCAUUGUGCCCUUCUUCAUUUCUGCAGCUGAAUGUUUUAUUUGACUGCCACUUUAAAGUACUCCUCACUAAAUUUCCAUCAUUAUGACACUUGUAAACAUCUUUUAUUUACAUGAAUUGUAUUAUUGUAAGCUCUUGAUAUUUAUAGUCGUGUGUAAUUAAUUUUUAUGCCUUGCUGCCUCAUAAGCAAUAAAAAUAAUGCACAGGCAAGGUUUGUUUGCAAGAGUCCAGCUCUCUCUCUCUCUCUCUCUCUCUCUCUCUCUCUCUCUCUCUCUCUCUCUCUCUCUCUAUUGUCUCACCCACUGAAACUCCUGUCAUAUCAGUUAGUUUUGAAAACUGGCUUAUUUUUCAGGCUCUUAAUUUAACAUCCUAGGUUUUUGCGUUUGAUUUAGUUCAUUCGGCUUUAUGUAUGUUCAUUGUAGUUCCUACAUUUUAGGUGCUGUUUUGUUAACAGAGGUGUCCUCAGUUUUUUUUUAAUUGUGUCAGUACUUUCAGUUAAGAAAGAAGCUAAAUAACUCCAACAAAUGCUGCUCUGAAAUAAUGUACUGCGAUGAGGCUGAUUAAAAAUGAUUGUAUUAAGAAGGAGUGCACAAUUUUAUUAACAGUGAAAAUAGUUUGCUGCAAGUUCCACACAGUCUGCAGAAACAUUAAAGUGCAGUCAUCCAGUAGACAAUUUCCUUAGUUGUCCUUUUCUGGGAAGUAUUGCUAUUAACUUGUUCCACAGUGUUUUACAAACUUAUGAAUCUCUGUGGGUAAAAGUUAAUUAAAUUUUUGUUUAUGUUUAAAUAGAGACAGUAUGAGACAGUGUAUUGCAUUUCAGUUGCUUUAUUAUUAUUAUUGUUAUUAUUAUUAUUAUUAUUAUUAUUAUUAUUAUUAUUAUUAUUGAUGAAGAUGAUGAUGAGUAUUUGAAAGUACUAACGAAGAUCACAUUUGCUAGUCAGGUUCUUUGCUUACAUCUGUUACUACAAUACAUGUAGUAAAACACGAAUAAGAAUCACAUUAAAGAGCUAUUGCAGAUUAUUUGAUGCUGUUGAUUUGAGUGCCUUUCUUCAGUCAAAAUUAAAGAUUGCUAUUACAUGGAGGAGGAGGAGGGGGAUGAUACUUAUCUUUCACUUGAAUAUUAACUUAUUAGAGAAAUUUCUUGACUUUCACUCCUAUAAUUGAGUUUCUGUAUUCAUUUUUAAUGUUUGUUUUUCUGCUGUGUAUUUUACAUCUUGUGUUUAAAUAAUUAUUCUUUCUAUAAAGAUCUCAGUGAUACGGGGAUUUGUCAAAACAUGUUAUUGUUUUUGAAGUUGCUGUGGUGUUAAAAUUUUUAGUCCAAUUCUAUGAAAUGGCAUUAUAAGUAUAUAGAUCUUAAAAGGGAAAUUAAUCUUAGUCAGUUUCAUUCUGGCACAAGAGUGAAACAUUACGUUUUAAUUUGUACACUGCAUAUUUCACAAAAAAAUUUGUGUUCUCUUUAUACUCUUUAAUUUGAAAUGUCUUUUCAACAAGCAUGUUGUGUUCAUUAUCUCAGAGCUAAAGGAAAAAAUGCAGGCAAAAGUGUGAACUAUGAAGCCUGUGUGCUUAUAACAGUUUGAUAGUUAGUUUUAAUACGUUAUUUGUACAAAUGUAAUGAGUUAUAAAUGUUAAAAUACUAAUGAUAAUUGAUACGUAGCAUGUUUGCUAUUAUUGUGUCAGACCAGUCAAUGAAACUUUGUGAUUCAGAUUGCAUUUGUAUCUUUCAACAACAAAUAAUUGGGCAGAGUGAAAAAAAAAUCAAUAAAUUCCUAAAAUGAG